Molecule: ribosomal RNA, 1643 nt
Filed under: Salmonella enterica
Lineage: Bacteria; Pseudomonadati; Pseudomonadota; Gammaproteobacteria; Enterobacterales; Enterobacteriaceae
Description: partial 23S ribosomal RNA
Rfam family: Bacterial large subunit ribosomal RNA
Source: RNAcentral
GGGGCUAAACCAUGCACCGAAGCUGCGGCAGCGACGCUGAUGCGUUGUUGGGUAGGGGAGCGUUCUGUAAGCCUGUGAAGGUGGCCUGUGAGGGUUGCUGGAGGUAUCAGAAGUGCGAAUGCUGACAUAAGUAACGAUAAAGCGGGUGAAAAGCCCGCUCGCCGGAAGACCAAGGGUUCCUGUCCAACGUUAAUCGGGGCAGGGUGAGUCGACCCCUAAGGCGAGGCCGAAAGGCGUAGUCGAUGGGAAACGGGUUAAUAUUCCCGUACUUGGUGUUACUGCGAAGGGGGGACGGAGAAGGCUAUGUUGGCCGGGCGACGGUUGUCCCGGUUUAAGCGUGUAGGUGUGUGUUCCAGGUAAAUCCGGUUCACUUUAACACUGAGGCGUGAUGACGAGGCACUACGGUGCUGAAGCAACAAAUGCCCUGCUUCCAGGAAAAGCCUCUAAGCAUCAGGUAACAUCAAAUCGUACCCCAAACCGACACAGGUGGUCAGGUAGAGAAUACCAAGGCGCUUGAGAGAACUCGGGUGAAGGAACUAGGCAAAAUGGUGCCGUAACUUCGGGAGAAGGCACGCUGACACGUAGGUGAAGUGAUUUACUCAUGGAGCUGAAGUCAGUCGAAGAUACCAGCUGGCUGCAACUGUUUAUUAAAAACACAGCACUGUGCAAACACGAAAGUGGACGUAUACGGUGUGACGCCUGCCCGGUGCCGGAAGGUUAAUUGAUGGGGUCAGCGCAAGCGAAGCUCCUGAUCGAAGCCCCGGUAAACGGCGGCCGUAACUAUAACGGUCCUAAGGUAGCGAAAUUCCUUGUCGGGUAAGUUCCGACCUGCACGAAUGGCGUAAUGAUGGCCAGGCUGUCUCCACCCGAGACUCAGUGAAAUUGAACUCGCUGUGAAGAUGCAGUGUACCCGCGGCAAGACGGAAAGACCCCGUGAACCUUUACUAUAGCUUGACACUGAACAUUGAGCCUUGAUGUGUAGGAUAGGUGGGAGGCUUUGAAGUGUGGACGCCAGUCUGCAUGGAGCCGGCCUUGAAAUACCACCCUUUAAUGUUUGAUGUUCUAACGUGGACCCGUGAUCCGGGUUGCGGACAGUGUCUGGUGGGUAGUUUGACUGGGGCGGUCUCCUCCUAAAGAGUAACGGAGGAGCACGAAGGUUGGCUAAUCCUGGUCGGACAUCAGGAGGUUAGUGCAAUGGCAUAAGCCAGCUUGACUGCGAGCGUGACGGCGCGAGCAGGUGCGAAAGCAGGUCAUAGUGAUCCGGUGGUUCUGAAUGGAAGGGCCAUCGCUCAACGGAUAAAAGGUACUCCGGGGAUAACAGGCUGAUACCGCCCAAGAGUUCAUAUCGACGGCGGUGUUUGGCACCUCGAUGUCGGCUCAUCACAUCCUGGGGCUGAAGUAGGUCCCAAGGGUAUGGCUGUUCGCCAUUUAAAGUGGUACGCGAGCUGGGUUUAGAACGUCGUGAGACAGUUCGGUCCCUAUCUGCCGUGGGCGCUGGAGAACUGAGGGGGGCUGCUCCUAGUACGAGAGGACCGGAGUGGACGCAUCACUGGUGUUCGGGUUGUCAUGCCAAUGGCACUGCCCGGUAGCUAAAUGCGGAAGAGAUAAGUGCUGAAAGCAUCUAAGCACGAAACUUGCCCCGA